CCUACGGGAGGCAGCAGUGAGGAAUAUUGGUCAAUGGCCGGGAGGCUGAACCAGCCAAGUCGCGUGAGGGCAGACGGCCCUACGGGUUGUAAACCUCUUUUGUCAGGGAGCAAGGUGGAGGUCGGGACCUGCUGUGAGAGUACCUUACGAAAAAGCAUCGGCUAACUCCGGUCCAGCAGCCGCGGUAAUACGGAGGAUGCGAGCGUUAUCCGGAUUUAUUGGGUUUAAAGGGUGCCCAGGGGGAGGCACAAUUCAGCGGUAAAAUCGCGGGGCUCAACCCCGCUCCGCCGUUGAAACUGUUUGCCUUGAGUGCGCGAAGGGUAGGCGGAAUGCGUGGUGUAGCGGUGAAAUGCAUAGAUAUCACGCAGAACUCCGAUGGCGAAGGCAGCCUACCGGCGCGCAACUGACGCUCAUGCACGAAAGCGUGGGUAUCGAACAGGAUUAGAUACCCGAGUAGUC
RNAcentral lists this ribosomal RNA (459 nucleotides) under uncultured bacterium. RNAcentral describes it as "partial 16S ribosomal RNA". It matches the Rfam family "Bacterial small subunit ribosomal RNA", at positions 338 to 795 of the family's 1533-position model. The record is from RNAcentral.